This 250-nucleotide long non-coding RNA is filed under the name Elaeis guineensis (African oil palm). RNAcentral's name for it is "long non-coding RNA (EGUI_LNC010778)". Lineage: Eukaryota; Viridiplantae; Streptophyta; Magnoliopsida; Arecales; Arecaceae. The record is from RNAcentral.
GAGGCAAUGUCUCAAUCUGAAAGUGAGUCUCCAAAAAACAACAAACAUCAGGGCGAUGCAUAUGAACCAAAAAUUUAGCAUAGUUAACAAAAGAGGGUUUUGCAGCCCCCCUACAGUUCCAAGACAAGAUCUUCAUAAGGUCAAAUGGAAGGUUGAAUGGGACUGCUAUCCACUACUUUAACAGACUCAUUGGACACAGUCUCGCCCUUAUCAACCAUUGCCUUUGCUAAUGGGAUUGACACAUCAUCUG